RNAcentral lists this long non-coding RNA (1525 nucleotides) under Phaseolus vulgaris (common bean). RNAcentral's name for it is "long non-coding RNA (PVUL_LNC000698)". The record is from RNAcentral. Lineage: Eukaryota; Viridiplantae; Streptophyta; Magnoliopsida; Fabales; Fabaceae.
CCAGACAAACAGUGAUUCCAAUCCCCAACUAGUUAUAAGUAACUCAAACCAGGUACCAAGAUAUUACAUGUUAUGUACUUGAGCAAUCUAUUUCAAUGAUUGCGAUAAAUAUAACUAGAGUGUAGCUUCCUAGUGAUGUUGUAGACACAUUUAGAUGCCGUCCAAUGCCAAUUAGAAGACAGAAUUGCAAUCCCACAUGUUCUUCCCCAGUUAUACUUCACGAGUCAUUAUAAACAGACAAAUAAAGCAAAACAAAACCCAGGGAAAAACAAUUUCUUGUUGCACCAUGCUCGUAUAAUCUGACAGAUUAUUACACAUCAGAUUAAGAAUUUUGGUGCUUGUGUUAAGUAAACUCCCUUUAUUUCCUCAGCAGUUUGACCUACAUCUAAGAAUCUCAUUCACUAUCAGAUGAGAUGCCAACAUUAAAUUAAAAGCUUUUAUUUCUAUACAAAGCACAUUUAGCAAGCCAGUGGUGCAAGAGUGCAGGUGUACAUUUUGUCAGAAGAAUAUCUAACUUGAUUAAAUUUCCCAAUAGCAUCAAGAUGUUCACGGGGAGAAGGAUGAAAAAAGGUUGACAAAAUGCAAUGUCUAAAGGCUUCUUUCUAAACAAAAGAAGGGGAAUGUACUACAGCCAUUAGAAUUUGAUCCCCCUUCUCACAUUAUCAUACAGGAAAAACAAACCACCAAUUAAAAUGAGAAAACACAACUGUCAGUGGAAACACAAGCUAAGCAAUCAGAGAACUUUGAAGACCAUUUGAAAUGAUGAUUCCACAUCAGAUUCAGAUAUUAAAAUCUCAUCACUUUGCUAGCCUUUGAUAGUUCAUUUUUUUCCUUGUCUACUUCUAAUAACUGAAACCAAAUCAGAGAAUGCAGCAUCAACUGCGAUAUCAACAAAUAAAUAAAAAUUUCGAAUGAUAUACAACUAAAGCCAAAAAACUUUGAAAAAUACUAAAUGCUAUGCAUCAAAUACAAACAACAAGGACUUGAAACACUCAUUGUCACACCACCACCAAAACAUUCAAAAGUAAUUAACCCAUCGAACCAACUAAUCUAAUUACAACAACAGAGUAAAGCAAUCAGAGAACUUUGAAGACCUUAUGAAACAGUAUAUCCUCAUCAGUCUCAGACAAGUUUGAUUUCAUCAUUUCGCUUUGCUCAUUGAAUAGUACAAAUCACUGUAACACAAACUAUUUGGCAAAAACUUGAAAAUUGGGCUAAAACAGAACACCCAAUAACAUGAAUUUCGAUUGCCAAGGAUAAAUUUUGCACCUGAAAAACCCUAUCUCGUAAUUUCCUUGCAUCUAAACUUUGAGAUGCAAAGGGCUACAUGGUGCAUCAUGUUAUCAAUCAGUGUCAAAACCGAAUCGAAUCAAAUGGAACAACAGAGAAAAAAAAAAGGUACUAAGGCGGCACCGUGGGAAAGCAUAUGUAAAGUAGUUGGUUAGAUUUGUGAAGCCGGUGUCUUCAUCUUUAUAUAUACUACUGGGAGUACAUGGGCAAUUAGGGUUUAGUUUUUUUUCUGUUU